AGCACUGGAAACAGAGACAGAGGAGAACCAAGACAAUGAAGUCUCAUUCUAGAGAUCAACAGUUUCAACGGUUGCAGAGUGGAGACUGGGAGCCAGACUAUAAAGAGUUGAACAAAGAAUGAGAGAAGAGGCAAUUAUAUAUAGACUAUUUUCUCAAGGACUUAAGCCACAAAGACAAGCUGGCUAGGACAAAACCUAGUAGGAAAGCUAGUAGGGAAAUCAAAUAAACAUUUUCAAGACAUUAGAGAAUAUAACACAUUUUUCAAUACAGGGGAACUAUACUAAGGCGAAAGAGAUUUCAUGUAUGGAUAAAAUGGUGGGUCAAGAAAGAGAUAAGGAAAGCAAGUCAGAGGUUUCUCCCAGGGGACAAUGUAGCAGGAAAGAAGAAAGAAAAUGGAGGAGAAAAAAUCUGGAAAGUGAGUCCAGACAUAGCCUGAAACACCUCUGUUUGCCACAGAAGAAACAAAGAUAGGUGUCACCCAGAAGGCACAUGAGUUCUAUAUUGAUAAGAGUUCCACAUACUAGUAAAACCGCAGCAAGAACAAUCAAGAGCUGGAAGGGAAUGAGCCCAAGAGACUUGCCCAGGUCAUGGAGUCAUCAAUGUCAGAGAUAACACUAAAAUUCACAUGCUUUAUCUCCCAACCCUAUAUUAAGAAAAGACUGAUAAAAAAUUAUUUUUGUUCUUUAUAUUUA
Molecule: long non-coding RNA, 693 nt
Organism: Antechinus flavipes (yellow-footed antechinus)
Lineage: Eukaryota; Metazoa; Chordata; Mammalia; Dasyuromorphia; Dasyuridae
Exons: 3
Source: RefSeq, a predicted model, not a curated record